CCUACGGGAGGCAGCAGUGAGGAAUAUUGGUCAAUGGCCGCAGGGCUGAACCAGCCAAGUCGCGUGAGGGAUGACGGUCCUAUGGAUUGUAAACCUCUUUUGUCAGGGAGCAAAGGGCGCCACGUGGGGCGCUUUGCGAGUACCUGAAGAAAAAGCAUCGGCUAACUCCGUGCCAGCAGCCGCGGUAAUACGGAGGAUCCGAGCGUUAUCCGGAUUUAUUGGGUUUAAAGGGAGCGUAGAUGGGUUGUUAAGGCAGUUGUGAAGGUUUGCGGCUCAACCGUAAAAUUGAAAUUGAUACUGGCAGUCUUGAGUACAGUUGAGGUAGGCGGAAUUCGUGGUGUAGCGGUGAAAUGCUUAGAUAUCACGAAGAACUCCGAUUGCGAAGGCAGCUUACUAAACUGCCACUGACAUUGAUGCUCGAAAGUGUGGGUAUCAAACAGGAUUAGAUACCCUGGUAGUC
RNAcentral lists this ribosomal RNA (460 nucleotides) under uncultured bacterium. RNAcentral describes it as "partial 16S ribosomal RNA". It matches the Rfam family "Bacterial small subunit ribosomal RNA", at positions 338 to 795 of the family's 1533-position model. The record is from RNAcentral.